This 443-nucleotide ribosomal RNA is filed under the name uncultured bacterium. RNAcentral's name for it is "partial 16S ribosomal RNA". It matches the Rfam family "Bacterial small subunit ribosomal RNA", at positions 338 to 795 of the family's 1533-position model. The record is from RNAcentral.
CCUACGGGAGGCAGCAGUGGGGAAUAUUGGACAAUGGGGGGAACCCUGAUCCAGCGACGCCGCGUGAGUGAAGAAGUAUUUCGGUAUGUAAAGCUCUAUCAGCAGGGAAGAAAGAAAUGACGGUACCUGACUAAGAAGCCCCGGCUAACUACGUGCCAGCAGCCGCGGUAAUACGUAGGGGGCAAGCGUUAUCCGGAUUUAAUGGGUGUAAAGGGAGCGUAGACGGCGAUGCAAGUCUGAAGUGAAAGGCGGGGGCCCAACCCCCGGACUGCGUUGGAAACUGGAUGGCUGGAGUGCAGGGGAGGUAAGUGGAAUUCCUAGUGUAGCGGUGAAAUGCGUAGAUAUUAGGAGGAACACCAGUGGCGAAGGCGGCUUACUGGACUGUAACUGACGUUGAGGCUCGAAAGCGUGGGGAGCAAACAGGAUUAGAUACCCCAGUAGUC